CGUACACUCCUGCGGGAGGCAGCAGUGGGGAAUAUUGGACAAUGGGCGCAAGCCUGAUCCAGCCAUGCCGCGUGAGUGAUGAAGGCCCUAGGGUUGUAAAGCUCUUUCACCGGUGAAGAUAAUGACGGUAACCGGAGAAGAAGCCCCGGCUAACUUCGUGCCAGCAGCCGCGGUAAUACGAAGGGGGCUAGCGUUGUUCGGAUUUACUGGGCGUAAAGCGCACGUAGGCGGACUAUUAAGUCAGGGGUGAAAUCCCGGGGCUCAACCCCGGAACUGCCUUUGAUACUGGUAGUCUUGAGUUCGAGAGAGGUGAGUGGAAUUCCGAGUGUAGAGGUGAAAUUCGUAGAUAUUCGGAGGAACACCAGUGGCGAAGGCGGCUCACUGGCUCGAUACUGACGCUGAGGUGCGAAAGCGUGGGGAGCAAACAGGAUUAGAUACCCUUGUAGUCCCAUGA
Molecule: ribosomal RNA, 454 nt
Filed under: uncultured organism
Description: partial 16S ribosomal RNA
Rfam family: Bacterial small subunit ribosomal RNA
Source: RNAcentral